GGCGUCGUUAGGAGUGGAGAUGCCCCUUUCCGUUUUCCAGACUCUCUACAUACCCAAGGUUACUGCCGGGGGGGAUAAGACCCGGGGUUGGUACUACCUGACGUCAUGGGGUUCCCACACUCCAUUUGUGAUCGAUCUGCCGAGCUCCAUCAAGGAAUGGAAGAGCUCUUGGUGCUGGGCAGCGGGGCGAUGGGACACAAUGGAGGGGGACCCCCUGGCGCCUCUUACAGUCCCGGCGAAGUUUUCAACACUUAGUGAGUAUAGUAGUUGAUAUUUUGUUUCUCUUCGGUCGUGCUUGUGUUUAACAGAUAUGUUUCUUUUCGCAGGUUCCCUCCCUCGGUACGAGCUAUCGACAGAGGACUUUGACAUUAUCUGUGUUAUUUAUCAGCUGCCUCAGAAGAAGAGGUCAUAUCACAGGCUGAUUCGGAAAAACAUACACUUCAUCACUCACGACUUAAUGGCGUCCCAAGGUAAUAGGACCGAAGCCCACACUUUUUUAACCCGAACUCCCUAUACCUAUAUUAAUUCCUCAUUCGUUUCUUUGCAGAUAACAUCAACAAGAAGCUGCCAGUAUGCCCCGACUUCAAAACUAUUCAGAAAAUGAUGGCUGAAGCAAGGGCGCUGAAGGCCUCCUCUUCUUCGUAUAAAAAGCAAAUGGAGGAGCUGGUGGAGGCCAGUAAGAGACUUCAGCCUCCGACGGAGGAGGAGGUUCAGGAGGAUCCAGAGGCUGACCUCCGAAGGAAGGGCAAGAAGAGUGCUGCCCCUCCCAGACGCCCAACUGUGGCGAGGCCACCCCCAGUUAUGCGGCAGACAACUAUUCCCACGGGGGUGGCCCUCCCAGAGAGAAACCCCACUGCUACGGAGCCUGUCGCUGCCCCGGACACGGCGCCCCUUGCGGCCGUACCUAUUGAACAUGUUCCGGGGCAGCAGAGGAGGAAAAGGGCCCGCUCCAGCAAAGAAGUUGACUUCCUCGGAACCAGUUCAGAAGAGCCAGUAAGGGAGGUACUGGAGGCUCUCCCUCCGGAAACAGCUGCAGUGGCGGUGGUCCACAGCAAGUAUUGGACCGCAGAGUGGAGGGACCACACCGCCUCCUGCACUGCUGAAGACUUGGUGGCGGCGAAUAGCGCCUGCGUGGCCCGGGCACUAAGCACAAGUAUCCAACUCGAG
This 1167-nucleotide long non-coding RNA is filed under the name Olea europaea subsp. europaea. Lineage: Eukaryota; Viridiplantae; Streptophyta; Magnoliopsida; Lamiales; Oleaceae. The record is from RNAcentral.